Molecule: ribosomal RNA, 453 nt
Filed under: uncultured eukaryote
Lineage: Eukaryota
Description: partial small subunit ribosomal RNA
Source: RNAcentral
CAUCCUCUUCCCGACAAAGACACUUCCGGGAUCCUUCACCAUGUCCCCUUCCACGCCAUCGAAGAUGUUGUAAGCGUUUGUGAACCCGGCUGCCGCGAGCAUGUUGACUGCCCUGGCAGCGCGGUCACCUGACCGGCACGUGACCAGCAGGAUGUCUGCCGGCUCGGCUAUCGAUUUGACCUCGGUGACAAAGUCCGGAUUCCACUUCAGGUGUAACUUGGUUUUGCCUUCUUUUCUUUGAUAAAUCACGAAGGCCACGGGUAUGUUCCAGGCCAUCUCCGGGUGGCCGACGAAGGCGUACUCCAUCGUCGUGCGCACGUCGAUGACCUUCACCUUGUCCGGCGUGGAUUUCCACAUCUCGUAGGCCUGCGCGGCGGUCACAUAGAGACCGAGCGUGGUCUGUUUCCGUUCGGGAACCUCGCUGCCCGCAGUCAUGGCUGCAGGCUUGGCGGU